UUCAGCAGCCAUAUCACCCUGCAACUCACAACUGAAAACCCAAUAAAGCUAAGCAGGGGUGAGCCUGGUCAGUACCUGGAUGGGACACCACCUGGGAAGAACUAAGGUUGCUGCUGGAA
Lepisosteus oculatus (spotted gar) is the source of this 119-nucleotide ribosomal RNA. Lineage: Eukaryota; Metazoa; Chordata; Actinopteri; Semionotiformes; Lepisosteidae. The record is from Ensembl.